CAGAUUCGUGGGAUGUGCUGGCGUCCGCGCACGUGCACUCUCUACACCCUCACACACACACCUGUGAACCUCGGACGCACCUCUCGCCUCCUCCCUCGGGGGGUCCCGUGAGACGGACGCGUACCCACUAUACAAACUCUUGAUGAUCGUGUCUUGGAGAGCUUUGACGAAUGCAAUA
Molecule: unclassified non-coding RNA, 178 nt
Filed under: uncultured fungus
Lineage: Eukaryota; Fungi
Description: sequence contains ITS1, 5.8S rRNA gene
Source: RNAcentral